Molecule: non-coding RNA, 336 nt
Organism: Leptonychotes weddellii (Weddell seal)
Lineage: Eukaryota; Metazoa; Chordata; Mammalia; Carnivora; Phocidae
Source: RefSeq, a predicted model, not a curated record
GACCGCGGCGUCCUCACAGCUGCCAGACUCCUAGGACACACACACUCGUUUUUGCGUGCCCCACCGCAACUAUCUUCUUCCCAAGACCCUCCAGAGCGCUCACCCCCAACCCCAGCGGGCCUUACCUGGUCAGAGUCAGAAAAAGACGUGGCAUAGAAAAGACCUGAAUCUGAGAUCCUACCUGCCUGCUAAUUAUUGGAUGUCUGAUUUCGGAAGAAGUGAGCUUAUAUGGAUAUUAAAGCAAAGGAUGAUUUCAGAAGGUUGGGAGUCUAAGGACAUUAAGAUGCAAAGAUUAAGACAAGAAGGAGAAAGAGGAAGAGAAGAAGAGAAAAGGAG